GACGAACGCUGGCGGCGUGCUUAACACAUGCAAGUCGAACGGAAAGGCCUGCUUUCCCUUGUGGAUUGCGGGUACUCGAGUGGCGAACGGGUGAGUAACACGUGAGUGAUCUGCCCCCAACUUGGGUAUAAGCCUGGGAAACUGGGUCUAAUUCCCGAUAGGACUGCAGGGUGGUGCCUGUGGUGGAAAACGAUUUUCUAGUGGUUGGGGAUGAGCUCGCGGCCUAUCAGCUUGUUGGUGGGGUAAUGGCCUACCAAGGCGGCGACGGGUAGCCGGCCUGAGAGGGUGGACGGCCACAUUGGGACUGAGAUACGGCCCAGACUCCUACGGGAGGCAGCAGUGGGGAAUAUUGCACAGUGGGCGGAAGCCUGAUGCAGCGACGCCGCGUGGGGGAUGACGGCCUUCGGGUGGUAAACUCCUUUCGACCGCGAGGAAGCCACCUGGUUGGAAGGGUGGUGACGGUAGUGGUAGAAGAAGCACCGGCUAACUACGUG
This 494-nucleotide ribosomal RNA is filed under the name uncultured bacterium. RNAcentral's name for it is "partial 16S ribosomal RNA". It matches the Rfam family "Bacterial small subunit ribosomal RNA", at positions 28 to 507 of the family's 1533-position model. The record is from RNAcentral.